UCUCCGUUGGUGAACCAGCAGAGGGAUCAUUACCGAGUAGCAAAACUCCCAAACCUUUGUCAACGUUACCUAUUCCGUUGCAUCGGAGGGCGCUCCGGGCCCCGCGCCCCGCGCCCCCCGGCCCCCCGUGGGCGCCCGCCCGACGUAAACCAAUCUCUUGAAUUGCAUGGCCUAUCUUAUUCUUCUGUACUGAAUAAGUCAAAACUUUCAACAACGGAUCUCUUGGUUCUC
RNAcentral lists this unclassified non-coding RNA (231 nucleotides) under plant metagenome. RNAcentral's name for it is "partial contains small subunit ribosomal RNA, internal transcribed spacer 1, and 5.8S ribosomal RNA". The record is from RNAcentral.